UUAGGAAAUAGUAUAAUUGGAAGCACCAAGAGUUUUGAUCUCUUGAGUAUAGGUUCAAGUCCUGUUUUUCUAG
This 73-nucleotide transfer RNA is filed under the name Squalus blainville (longnose spurdog). Its description in RNAcentral is "tRNA-Gln". It matches the Rfam family "tRNA". Rfam says of the family: Transfer RNA (tRNA) molecules are approximately 80 nucleotides in length. The record is from RNAcentral. Lineage: Eukaryota; Metazoa; Chordata; Chondrichthyes; Squaliformes; Squalidae.